RNAcentral lists this ribosomal RNA (254 nucleotides) under uncultured bacterium. RNAcentral describes it as "partial 16S ribosomal RNA". It matches the Rfam family "Bacterial small subunit ribosomal RNA", at positions 524 to 776 of the family's 1533-position model. The record is from RNAcentral.
UACGGGGGGAGCAAGCGUUGUUCGGAUUUACUGGGCGUAAAGGGCGCGUAGGCGGUCAGCACAAGUCAGUUGUGAAAUCUCCGGGCUUAACUCGGAAAGGUCAACUGAUACUGUGCGACUAGAGUGCAGAAGGGGCAACUGGAAUUCUCGGUGUAGCGGUGAAAUGCGUAGAUAUCGAGAGGAACACCAGUGGCGAAGGCGAGUCUCUGGACGACCCCUGACACUGAGGCACGAAAGCUAGGGGAGCAAACAGG